UUAAUUGAAACCAAAAUAGAGGUGAAUUAUUGUUAAUAAUUCUAUUGAUUAUAUUAAUCCAAUUAAA
This 67-nucleotide transfer RNA is filed under the name Parevania sp. ZJUH_2016024. RNAcentral describes it as "tRNA-Asn". Lineage: Eukaryota; Metazoa; Arthropoda; Insecta; Hymenoptera; Evaniidae. The record is from RNAcentral.